RNAcentral lists this ribosomal RNA (2192 nucleotides) under Escherichia coli. Its description in RNAcentral is "partial 23S ribosomal RNA". It matches the Rfam family "Bacterial large subunit ribosomal RNA", at positions 474 to 2651 of the family's 2925-position model. Lineage: Bacteria; Pseudomonadati; Pseudomonadota; Gammaproteobacteria; Enterobacterales; Enterobacteriaceae. The record is from RNAcentral.
UCCUGACUGACCGAUAGUGAACCAGUACCGUGAGGGAAAGGCGAAAAGAACCCCGGCGAGGGGAGUGAAAAAGAACCUGAAACCGUGUACGUACAAGCAGUGGGAGCCUCUUAAUGGGGUGACUGCGUACCUUUUGUAUAAUGGGUCAGCGACUUAUAUUCUGUAGCAAGGUUAACCGAAUAGGGGAGCCGAAGGGAAACCGAGUCUUAACUGGGCGUUAAGUUGCAGGGUAUAGACCCGAAACCCGGUGAUCUAGCCAUGGGCAGGUUGAAGGUUGGGUAACACUAACUGGAGGACCGAACCGACUAAUGUUGAAAAAUUAGCGGAUGACUUGUGGCUGGGGGUGAAAGGCCAAUCAAACCGGGAGAUAGCUGGUUCUCCCCGAAAGCUAUUUAGGUAGCGCCUCGUGAAUUCAUCUCCGGGGGUAGAGCACUGUUUCGGCAAGGGGGUCAUCCCGACUUACCAACCCGAUGCAAACUGCGAAUACCGGAGAAUGUUAUCACGGGAGACACACGGCGGGUGCUAACGUCCGUCGUGAAGAGGGAAACAACCCAGACCGCCAGCUAAGGUCCCAAAGUCAUGGUUAAGUGGGAAACGAUGUGGGAAGGCCCAGACAGCCAGGAUGUUGGCUUAGAAGCAGCCAUCAUUUAAAGAAAGCGUAAUAGCUCACUGGUCGAGUCGGCCUGCGCGGAAGAUGUAACGGGGCUAAACCAUGCACCGAAGCUGCGGCAGCGACACUAUGUGUUGUUGGGUAGGGGAGCGUUCUGUAAGCCUGUGAAGGUGGCCUGUGAGGGUUGCUGGAGGUAUCAGAAGUGCGAAUGCUGACAUAAGUAACGAUAAAGCGGGUGAAAAGCCCGCUCGCCGGAAGACCAAGGGUUCCUGUCCAACGUUAAUCGGGGCAGGGUGAGUCGACCCCUAAGGCGAGGCCGAAAGGCGUAGUCGAUGGGAAACAGGUUAAUAUUCCUGUACUUGGUGUUACUGCGAAGGGGGGACGGAGAAGGCUAUGUUGGCCGGGCGACGGUUGUCCCGGUUUAAGCGUGUAGGCUGGUUUUCCAGGCAAAUCCGGAAAACCAAGGCUGAGGCGUGAUGACGAGGCACUACGGUGCUGAAGUGACAAAUGCCCUGCUUCCAGGAAAAGCCUCUAAGCAUCAGGUAACAUCAAAUCGUACCCCAAACCGACACAGGUGGUCAGGUAGAGAAUACCAAGGCGCUUGAGAGAACUCGGGUGAAGGAACUAGGCAAAAUGGUGCCGUAACUUCGGGAGAAGGCACGCUGAUAUGUAGGUGAAGCGACUUGCUCGUGGAGCUGAAAUCAGUCGAAGAUACCAGCUGGCUGCAACUGUUUAUUAAAAACACAGCACUGUGCAAACACGAAAGUGGACGUAUACGGUGUGACGCCUGCCCGGUGCCGGAAGGUUAAUUGAUGGGGUUAGCGGUAACGCGAAGCUCUUGAUCGAAGCCCCGGUAAACGGCGGCCGUAACUAUAACGGUCCUAAGGUAGCGAAAUUCCUUGUCGGGUAAGUUCCGACCUGCACGAAUGGCGUAAUGAUGGCCAGGCUGUCUCCACCCGAGACUCAGUGAAAUUGAACUCGCUGUGAAGAUGCAGUGUACCCGCGGCAAGACGGAAAGACCCCGUGAACCUUUACUAUAGCUUGACACUGAACAUUGAGCCUUGAUGUGUAGGAUAGGUGGGAGGCUUUGAAGUGUGGACGCCAGUCUGCAUGGAGCCGACCUUGAAAUACCACCCUUUAAUGUUUGAUGUUCUAACGUUGGCCCCUAAUCGGGGUUGCGGACAGUGUCUGGUGGGUAGUUUGACUGGGGCGGUCUCCUCCUAAAGAGUAACGGAGGAGCACGAAGGUUGGCUAAUCCUGGUCGGACAUCAGGAGGUUAGUGCAAUGGCAUAAGCCAGCUUGACUGCGAGCGUGACGGCGCGAGCAGGUGCGAAAGCAGGUCAUAGUGAUCCGGUGGUUCUGAAUGGAAGGGCCAUCGCUCAACGGAUAAAAGGUACUCCGGGGAUAACAGGCUGAUACCGCCCAAGAGUUCAUAUCGACGGCGGUGUUUGGCACCUCGAUGUCGGCUCAUCACAUCCUGGGGCUGAAGUAGGUCCCAAGGGUAUGGCUGUUCGCCAUUUAAAGUGGUACGCGAGCUGGGUUUAGAACGUCGUGAGACAGUUCGGUCCCUAUCUGCCGUGGG